UUUAAUGGAGAGUUUGAUCCUGGCUCAGGACGAACGCUGGCGGCGUGCCUAAUACAUGCAAGUCGAGCGGGGUUGUUUAGAAG
RNAcentral lists this ribosomal RNA (83 nucleotides) under Paenibacillus sp. OT2-17. RNAcentral describes it as "partial 16S ribosomal RNA". It matches the Rfam family "Bacterial small subunit ribosomal RNA", at positions 1 to 82 of the family's 1533-position model. The record is from RNAcentral. Lineage: Bacteria; Bacillati; Bacillota; Bacilli; Caryophanales; Paenibacillaceae.